CGGCUCAGUAACACGUGGAUAACCUACCCUCAGAUCUGGGAUAACUCCGGGAAACUGGAGAUAAUACCGGAUAAUCCGUGAACGCUGGAAUGCCUUACGGUUGAAAGCUUUAGCGUCUGAGGAUGGGUCUGCGGCCGAUUAGGUAGUUGCUGGGGUAACGUCCCAACAAGCCGAUAAUCGGUACGGGUUGUGAGAGCAAGAGCCCGGAGAUGGAUUCUGAGACACGAAUCCAGGUCCUACGGGGCGCAGCAGGCGCGAAAACUUUACACUGCGCGAAAGCGCGAUAAGGGGACCUCGAGUGCGUGCGCAAAGCGUACGCUUUUCAGAUGCCUAAAAAGCAUCUGGAAUAAGGGCCGGGCAAGACCGGUGCCAGCCGCCGCGGUAACACCGGCGGCUCAAGUGGUGGCCGCUAUUUGGGCUUAAAGGGUCCGUAGCCGGACCAGUUAGUCCCUUGGGAAAUCUUACGGCUUAACCGUAAGGCUGCCAAUGGAUACUGCUGGUCUUGGGACCGGGAGAGGCAAGAGGUACCUCAGGGGUAGGAGUGAAAUCCUGUAAUCCUUGAGGGACCGCCAGUGGCGAAGGCGUCUUGCUAGAACGGGUCCGACGGUGAGGGACGAAAGCUAGGGGCACGAACCGGAUUAGAUACCCGGGUAGUCCUAGC
This 661-nucleotide ribosomal RNA is filed under the name uncultured euryarchaeote. Its description in RNAcentral is "bacterial SSU rRNA". It matches the Rfam family "Archaeal small subunit ribosomal RNA", at positions 83 to 751 of the family's 1478-position model. Lineage: Archaea; Methanobacteriati; Methanobacteriota. The record is from RNAcentral.